AUACGGAGGAUCCGAGCGUUAUCCGGAUUUAUUGGGUUUAAAGGGUGCGCAGGCGGCCAUUUAAGUCAGCGGUUAAAUCGUGGGGCUCAACCCCAUUCUGCCGUUGAUACUGGGUGGCUUGAUUGCGGUCGAGGUUGGCGGAAUUCGUUGUGUAGCGGUGAAAUGCAUAGUUAUGACGAAGAACACCGAUUGCGUAGGCAGCUGACCAGACCGCAAAUGACGCUCAUGCACGAAAGUGCGGGGAUCGAACAGGAUUAGAUACCCUGGUAGUCCGCACAGUAAACGAUGAAUACUUGUUUUCGGCGAUAUAAUGUCGGAGGCAAAGCGAAAGCGAUAAGUAUUCCACCUGGGGAGUACGCCGGCAACGGUGAAACUCAAAGGAAUUGACGGGG
Molecule: ribosomal RNA, 392 nt
Filed under: uncultured bacterium
Lineage: Bacteria
Description: partial 16S ribosomal RNA
Rfam family: Bacterial small subunit ribosomal RNA
Source: RNAcentral